This 254-nucleotide ribosomal RNA is filed under the name uncultured bacterium. Its description in RNAcentral is "partial 16S ribosomal RNA". It matches the Rfam family "Bacterial small subunit ribosomal RNA", at positions 524 to 776 of the family's 1533-position model. The record is from RNAcentral.
UACGGGGGGAGCAAGCGUUGUUCGGAUUUACUGGGCGUAAAGGGCGCGUAGGCGGUCGUGACAAGUCACUUGUGAAAUCUCCGGGCUUAACUCGGAACGGUCAAGUGAUACUGUCGGACUAGAGUACAGAAGGGGCAACUGGAAUUCUCGGUGUAGCGGUGAAAUGCGUAGAUAUCAAGAGGAACACCUGCGGCGAAGGCGGGUUGCUGGGCCGACACUGACGCUGAUGCGCGAAAGCUAGGGGAGCGAACGGG